CAUGUAUGUUGCAAUCCAGGCAGUUCUAUCGCUUUAUGCUAGUGGGCGUACUACAGGUAUUGUGUUGGAUUCUGGGGAUGGGGUCAGUCACACAGUUCCAAUCUAUGAAGGUUAUGCACUUCCCACGCCAUCCUCAGGCUUGACCUCGCUGGACGGGAUUUAACAGAUGCCUUGAUGAAGAUCCUUACAGAGAGGGGUUAUCAUUCACCACAACUGCUGAACGAGAAAUUGUACGUGACAUCAAGGAAAAACUUGCUUACGUGGCACUCGUCUACGAGCAGGAGCUUGAAACUGCGAAAAGCAGCUCAUCAAUUGAGAAAAGUUAUGAGCUACCUGAUGGUCAGGUAAUAACCAUUGGAGCGGAGCGUUUCCGUUGUCCUGAGGUCUUAUUUCAGCCAUCACUUAUCGGAAUGGAAGCUCCUGGAAUUCACGAGACCACCUACAAUUCCAUCAUGAAAUGUGAUGUCGAUAUUAGAAAGGACUUGUACGGUAAUAUAGUGCUUAGCGGUGGAUCCCAUGUUUCCCGGUAUUGCUGAUCGAAUGAGCAAGGAAAUCACAGCUCUUGCACGAGUAGCAUGAAGAUCAAGGUGGUGGCACCCCCAGAGAGAAAGUACAGUGUCUGGAUUGGUGGGUCUAUUUUGGCUUCUCUUAGCACAUUCCAGCAGAUGUGGAUAUCGAAAGCAGAGUACGACGAAUCCGGACCUGCCAUUGUUCACAGGAAGUGCUUCUAGAUAUAUACUUGUGUUAUUUUGCUGUUUCCUUCUGCAUUUUGUGGUUUGGAUUUUUCGGGUUUUGAGAUUGUCAGUUUGGCUUGGUUUUCAGUCAGUCCGUUUGAUUUUUCGUUUUGGUGUCUCAUGUUCAUCCCAUGAUAAAUGUAUGAGACAUGGUUUAUAAGUAUGAUUAUAUGGUAGAGUGUUUGUAGUGUAACAUAUAGACGGUUGUAUUCUAUAAGGAUAGCAUUGUUGCUUGCUCUUCACAAUCAUGUAAUGUAAGUUUCUUCUUUUUUGUAACA
Long non-coding RNA from Hibiscus syriacus, 1012 nucleotides. RefSeq lists it as uncharacterized. The transcript is spliced from 3 exons. NCBI's taxonomy places the organism in Eukaryota, Viridiplantae, Streptophyta, Magnoliopsida, Malvales, Malvaceae. The record is from RefSeq and is a predicted model, not a curated record.